RNAcentral lists this ribosomal RNA (2268 nucleotides) under Citreimonas salinaria. Its description in RNAcentral is "bacterial LSU rRNA". It matches the Rfam family "Bacterial large subunit ribosomal RNA", at positions 588 to 2925 of the family's 2925-position model. Lineage: Bacteria; Pseudomonadati; Pseudomonadota; Alphaproteobacteria; Rhodobacterales; Roseobacteraceae. The record is from RNAcentral.
CGGGGGUGACGGCGUACCUUUUGUAUAAUGGGUCAUCGACUUGGUCUAUCUAGCAAGCUUAAGCCGUUAGGUGUAGGCGCAGCGAAAGCGAGUCUUAAUAGGGCGCAUGAGUUAGAUGGAUCAGACCCGAAACCGAGUGAUCUAGGCAUGGCCAGGUUGAAGGUUGGGUAACACCAACUGGAGGACCGAACCCACAUCCGUUGAAAAGGAUCGGGAUGAGCUGUGCCUAGGGGUGAAAGGCCAAUCAAACUCGGAGAUAGCUGGUUCUCCGCGAAAUCUAUUUAGGUAGAGCGUCAUCCGAAUACCCCGGGGGGUAGAGCACUGGAUGGGUAAUGGGGCCCCACAGGCUUACUGAUCCUAACCAAACUCCGAAUACCCGGGAGUACUAGAUGGCAGACACACGGCGGAUGCUAACGUCCGUCGUGAAGAGGGAAACAACCCUGACCUCCAGCUAAGGCCCCCAAUUCGUGGCUAAGUGGGAAAGCAGGUGGGACGACCAAAACAACCAGGAGGUUGGCUUAGAAGCAGCCAUCCUUUAAAGAUAGCGUAACAGCUCACUGGUCUAAUCAAGUUGUCCUGCGGCGAAGAUGUAACGGGGCUCAAGCCACGAGCCGAAGCUGAGGAUGCGCAUAGCGCAUGGUAGCGGAGCGUAGUGUGACAUAGCUCACUGUCUCCUUAGCGGGUGCCGUUCUCCGGAACGGUCCGCCUUGGAGACAAGGAGCUUUCUGUGAAGCCGGCCUGUGAGGGAUCCGGUGGAGAGAUCACUAGCGAGAAUGAUGACAUGAGUAGCGACAAAGAGUGUGAGAGACACUCUCGCCGAAAGUCCAAGGGUUCCUGCUUAAAGCUAAUCUGAGCAGGGUGAGCCGGCCCCUAAGGCGAGGCCGAAAGGCGUAGUCGAUGGGAACCAGGUUAAUAUUCCUGGGCCGUGUGGUGGUGACGGAUCGUGGCGACGCAUGUUCCUUAUCGGAUUGGAGCAUGUUCAAGACGGUUCCUGGAAAUAGCCCCACUGUAAGACCGUACCCUAAACCGACACAGGUGGACUGGUAGAGCAUACCAAGGCGCUUGAGAGAACGAUGUUGAAGGAACUCGGCAAAAUACCUCCGUAAGUUCGCGAGAAGGAGGCCCGGCGUAUGAUCGCCGGGGGCACAAACCAGGGGGUGGCGACUGUUUACUAAAAACACAGGGCUCUGCGAAGUCGCAAGACGACGUAUAGGGUCUGACGCCUGCCCGGUGCCUGAAGGUUAAAAGGAGGGGUGCAAGCUCCGAAUUGAAGCCCAGGUAAACGGCGGCCGUAACUAUAACGGUCCUAAGGUAGCGAAAUUCCUUGUCGGGUAAGUUCCGACCUGCACGAAUGGCGUAACGACUUCCCCGCUGUCUCCAACAUCGACUCAGCGAAAUUGAAUUGCCGGUCAAGAUGCCGGCUACCCGCGGUUAGACGGAAAGACCCCGUGCACCUUCACUACAGCUUCGCACUGGCAUCAGGCACAACAUGUGCAGGAUAGGUGGUAGGCUUCGAAGCAGGGACGCCAGUUCCUGUGGAGCCUCCCUUGAGAUACCACCCUUGUUCUGCUUGAUGUCUAACCGCGGUCCGUCAUCCGGAUCCGGGACCCUGCGUGGCGGGUAGUUUGACUGGGGCGGUCGCCUCCUAAAGCGUAACGGAGGCGCGCGAAGGUUGGCUCAGAGCGGUCGGAAAUCGCUCGUUGAGUGCAAUGGCAGAAGCCAGCCUGACUGCAAGACUGACAAGUCGAGCAGAGACGAAAGUCGGCCAUAGUGAUCCGGUGGUCCCAAGUGGGAGGGCCAUCGCUCAACGGAUAAAAGGUACGCCGGGGAUAACAGGCUGAUACUGCCCAAGAGUCCAUAUCGACGGCAGUGUUUGGCACCUCGAUGUCGGCUCAUCUCAUCCUGGGGCUGGAGCAGGUCCCAAGGGUAUGGCUGUUCGCCAUUUAAAGAGGUACGUGAGCUGGGUUUAGAACGUCGUGAGACAGUUCGGUCCCUAUCUGCCGUGGGUGUAGGAUACUUGAGAGGAGUUGCCCCUAGUACGAGAGGACCGGGGUGAACGAUCCACUGGUGGACCAGUUGUCAUGCCAAUGGCAGUGCUGGGUAGCUAUGAUCGGACAGGAUAACCGCUGAAGGCAUCUAAGCGGGAAGCCCCCCUCAAAACAAGGUAUCCCUGAGGGCCGUGGUAGACCACCACGUCGAUAGGCCGGAGGUGCAAGCGCGGCAACGCGUUCAGCUGACCGGUACUAAUGGCCCGACAGGCUUGAUCUG